GUGCGGAGAAGAAGAAGAAGAAAUGAAGAAAAACGAAGCUUCAAAUACAGUAUUUGUUCAAGAACUAAGUUCUACAGUUUGGCCAAGUUAACUAGCGGUAAUUUUAAGAGUUGCUAUAACUACCUGGGCAACGUGAGUAGUCGUUCGAGUGGAAUUGAGGUCAGUUAAAUGGUGUUACAUAAUUAGCGCAACACAAGGCCUGCUAUUAGCAAUUAGCUUUGCUUCGUUCGCCGGGGACGACAAAGUGCGUGUAUGGUCUUCUACCGAGCUUCCGAUGUGCUUCGGUGUGCCUGGGAUAGAAGUGCUCAGGACUUGUCGUCAAGGGAAGGCCUCCAUGGGCACGUGACCCAAGCGAGGAUUUUCUUCAGUGCUCAGCUAACUGCUUAACAGAGGGUUUGAAUUGGCCGUGACGAGCAACUACAUGACCAAACCGUGACCACCGUCUCCUGUAUUGGACCGAACAAGAUGUUGAUGUUUAAAAAAAAAAAAAAAAAAAAAGGAAGGAGGAAAAUAUGAAAGGCAGAAAGUUAGCAGGGGCCAAAGCCACAAGCAACAUGGAGAGGAUCGACAUUUAAAGCGCACAAUGCAACUUCACUUCAUAUUACUGACAGUGUAAAUGACGCCUAAUGAAAAGAUCCUGGCAGGUUUGAC
Phyllopteryx taeniolatus (common seadragon) is the source of this 651-nucleotide long non-coding RNA. RefSeq lists it as uncharacterized. NCBI's taxonomy places the organism in Eukaryota, Metazoa, Chordata, Actinopteri, Syngnathiformes, Syngnathidae. The transcript is spliced from 3 exons. The record is from RefSeq and is a predicted model, not a curated record.